This 482-nucleotide ribosomal RNA is filed under the name uncultured bacterium. RNAcentral's name for it is "partial 16S ribosomal RNA". It matches the Rfam family "Bacterial small subunit ribosomal RNA", at positions 28 to 507 of the family's 1533-position model. The record is from RNAcentral.
GACGAACGCUGGCGGCGUGCUUAACACAUGCAAGUCGAACGAUGAAGAAGAGAAACGCGAACUUCGGUUCAAAUUUCACUUCGGAUUAGUGGCAGACGGGUGAGUAACGCGUGAGCAACCUACCUCUUACAAAGGGAUAGCCUCGGGAAACCGUGAUUAAUACCAUAUGACACAUUCAUAAGGCAUCUUAAGACUGUUAAAGCUACGGCGGUAAGAGAUGGGCUCGCGUCCCAUUAGCUAGUUGGUGAGGUAACGGCCCACCAAGGCGACGAUGGGUAACCGGCCUGAGAGGGUGAACGGUCACAGUGGAACUGAGACACGGUCCAAACUCCUACGGGAGGCAGCAGUGGGGAAUAUUGCACAAUGGAGGGAACUCUGAUGCAGCGACGCCGCGUGAGCGAUGAAGGAAUUCGUUUCGUAAAGCUCUGUUCUAUGGGAAGAAAAGGACUGUACCAUAGGAGAAAGCCCCGGCUAAAUACGUG